UUCGAGGGUGCCGGACAGAUGCUGCAUGGUUGUCGUCAGCUCGUGUCGUGAGAUGUACCGUUAAUUCGGGAAACGAGCGCGACCCCUAUCCUAUGUUUCAUGUGUCAUAGGAAACUGCCCGCUUUAAGUGGGAGGAAGGUGGGGAUGACGUCAAAUCAGCAUGGUUCUUACACCUUGGGCGACACACGUGCUACAAUGGGAAGCACAAAGGGACGCCAAAUCGCAAGAUGGAGCAAAUCCUUUAAAACUUCUCUCAGUUCGGAUUGAGGUCUGCAACUCGACCUCAUGAAGCUGGAAUCGCUAGUAAACGUGGAUCAGCCACGCCACGUUGAAUACGUUCUCGGGUCUU
RNAcentral lists this ribosomal RNA (349 nucleotides) under uncultured Parcubacteria group bacterium. RNAcentral's name for it is "bacterial SSU rRNA". It matches the Rfam family "Bacterial small subunit ribosomal RNA", at positions 1020 to 1382 of the family's 1533-position model. The record is from RNAcentral.